This 492-nucleotide ribosomal RNA is filed under the name uncultured bacterium. RNAcentral describes it as "partial 16S ribosomal RNA". It matches the Rfam family "Bacterial small subunit ribosomal RNA", at positions 29 to 507 of the family's 1533-position model. The record is from RNAcentral.
AGUGAACGCUGGCGGUAGGCCUAACACAUGCAAGUCGAACGGCAGCACAGUAAGAGCUUGCUCUUACGGGUGGCGAGUGGCGGGCGGGUGAGGAAUACAUCGGAAUCUACUUUUUCGUGGGGGAUAACGUAGGGAAACUUACGCUAAUACCGCAUACGACCUACGGGUGAAAGCAGGGGAUCUUCGGACCUUGCGCGAUUGAAUGAGCCGAUGUCGGAUUAGCUAGUUGGCGGGGUAAAGGCCCACCAAGGCGACGAUCCGUAGCUGGCCUGAGAGGAUGAUCAGCCACACUGGAACUGAGACACGGUCCAGACUCCUACGGGAGGCAGCAGUGGGGAAUAUUGGACAAUGGGCGCAAGCCUGAUCCAGCCAUACCGCGUGGGUGAAGAGGGCCUUCGGGUUGUAAAGCCCUUUUGUUGGGAAAGAAAAGCAGCAGGUUAAUACCCCGCUGUUCUGACGGUACCCAAAGAAUAAGCACCGGCUAACUUCGUG